Molecule: ribosomal RNA, 434 nt
Filed under: uncultured eukaryote
Lineage: Eukaryota
Description: SSU rRNA
Rfam family: Eukaryotic small subunit ribosomal RNA
Source: RNAcentral
ACUGCAAUUGGAGGGCAAGUCUGGUGCCAGCAGCCGCGGUAAUUCCAGCUCCAAUAGCGUAUAUUAAAGUUGUUGCAGUUAAAAAGCUCGUAGUUGAAGUUCUGAUUGCUCAGGUUUCCAGCCUUAGGCGGAGAUACUGACAGUCAUCCGCUUGCAAACAUAUGUUCGAUCUUCACCGGUUGGCUAUGUGAGUAAGCACUUUACCUUGAGAAAAACAGAGUGUUCCAGGCAGGUUUGUCCGGGAUGCAUUAGCAUGGAAUAAUAGAACAUGACUGAAGUCGAUUAUUGGUUUAAGGCUUAGUAAUGAUUAAUAGGAACAGUCGGGGGCAUUCGUACUCAGCAGUCAGAGGUGAAAUUCUAAGAUUUGCUGAAGACGAACUAAUGCGAAAGCAUUGCCAAGGAAUGUUUUCAUUAAUCAAGAACGAAAGUUAGGG